RNAcentral lists this transfer RNA (67 nucleotides) under Tenuibranchiurus glypticus. RNAcentral describes it as "tRNA-Trp". The record is from RNAcentral. Lineage: Eukaryota; Metazoa; Arthropoda; Malacostraca; Decapoda; Parastacidae.
AAGAUUUUAAGUUAAUUAAACUAGCACCCUUCAAAGAUGCCUAUAAAAGAAACUCUUUUAAAUCUUA